CUUCACCGAACCCAGCCACAACGGCCGGUCCCCCGGCCGAUCCCGGCCGUACGUGGCCAGCAACGCCUGUGCUUC
This 75-nucleotide antisense RNA is filed under the name Amycolatopsis tolypomycina. RNAcentral's name for it is "ASpks TB sRNA". It matches the Rfam family "ASpks TB sRNA". The record is from RNAcentral. Lineage: Bacteria; Bacillati; Actinomycetota; Actinomycetes; Pseudonocardiales; Pseudonocardiaceae.